Molecule: transfer RNA, 73 nt
Filed under: Marmota monax (woodchuck)
Lineage: Eukaryota; Metazoa; Chordata; Mammalia; Rodentia; Sciuridae
Description: tRNA.Ala
Source: RNAcentral
UGUGGUAGAAGCUCAGUGGUAGAACAUGUGUUUAGCAUUCAUGAGGCCCUGGGUUUGAUCUCCAGCACCACAA